UACAGAGGGGGCAAGCGUUAUUCGGAAUUAUCGGGCGUAAAGGGCGCGUAGGCGGCAUGGCAAGUGGAAGGUGAAAUCCCUCGGCUUAACCGAGGAACUGCCCUCCAAACUGCUUUGCUUGAGGCCGGGAGAGGUGAGUGGAAUUCCCAGUGUAGCGGUGAAAUGCGUAGAUAUUGGGAGGAACACCAGUGGCGAAGGCGGCUCACUGGACCGGUUCUGACGCUGAGGCGCGAAAGCGUGGGGAGCAAACGGG
Molecule: ribosomal RNA, 253 nt
Filed under: uncultured bacterium
Lineage: Bacteria
Description: partial 16S ribosomal RNA
Rfam family: Bacterial small subunit ribosomal RNA
Source: RNAcentral